Molecule: ribosomal RNA, 453 nt
Filed under: uncultured Porphyromonadaceae bacterium
Lineage: Bacteria; Pseudomonadati; Bacteroidota; Bacteroidia; Bacteroidales; Porphyromonadaceae
Description: partial 16S ribosomal RNA
Rfam family: Bacterial small subunit ribosomal RNA
Source: RNAcentral
ACGGGAGGCAGCAGUGCGGAAUAUUGGUCAAUGGGCGGAAGCCCGAACCAGCCAAGUCGCGUGAAGGAUGAAGGUAUUAUGUAUUGUAAACUUCUUUAGCUGUGGAGCAAUAAUCUCCAUGUAUGGAGAGAUGAGAGUACACAGAGAAUAAGGAUCGGCUAACUCCGUGCCAGCAGCCGCGGUAAUACGGAGGAUCCGAGCGUUAUCCGGAUUUAUUGGGUUUAAAGGGUGCGCAGGCGGCUUUCUAAGUCAGUGGUCAAAUCGUGGUGCUCAACGCCAUCCCGCCAUUGAUACUGGAGAGCUUGAUUGCGGUCGAGGUUUGCGGAAUUCGUCGUGUAGCGGUGAAAUGCAUAGAUAUGACGAAGAACACCGAUUGCGUAGGCAGCAGACCAGGCCGUAAAUGACGCUCAUGCACGAAAGUGCGGGGAUCGAACAGGAUUAGAUACCCUGGUA